This is a long non-coding RNA of Gossypium arboreum, 449 nucleotides long. RefSeq lists it as uncharacterized. The record is from RefSeq and is a predicted model, not a curated record. The transcript is spliced from 4 exons. Lineage: Eukaryota; Viridiplantae; Streptophyta; Magnoliopsida; Malvales; Malvaceae.
GGGGCUUCAACGAGGCCAUCUUCUGGCGCUGAUUUACAGCUCCUGGGGGGUCUCCUCCUGCUGCUGACCGUUUCCCUUCCUUUUGGGGCCCCUGCAAACCUCUUCGCACAACUUCCAAUAAUGCCAAGUGGCAGUCAACAUGGUUUAAAAAAGGCUAUUGGGGCCCUGAAGGACUCCACAAAAGUUGGAUUGGCAAGGGGAGUAGAGGUUGCCAUUGUCGAGGCUACCGACCAUAAAGAAGUAGUGCCAACGGAGAGACAUGUCAGGAGUACAAUGUUCAUGGACGACGCAAUGAAUGCUUGAAGAAACAUCUCUUUUGGACAUCCCACAUGCAUGAAUGAACAACAUUUAUUUAGGUGCAUGCAUGACCAGAUUCAAGGUGUUUACAAGUUCAUGUAUUUGUCAAAUACAUGAAUGCACAAAAUACAUGAACGUUUGGGUUCAAAUGC